CAUACGCUCGUCUCAAAGAUUAAGCCAUGCAUGUGUAAGUAUAAAUAGUUAACUUUGAAACUGCGAAUGGCUCAUUAUAUCAGUUAUAGUUUAUUUGAUGAAGAAUACUAAUUGGAUAACCGUAGUAAUUCUAGAGCUAAUACAUGUAUAAAGUCUUGUAGACUGCAUUUAUUAGAAUGAAAACCAUAGGUUUCGGCCUAUUCGUGAGUAAUAAUAACUAAUCAUAUCGUAUGCUUAUGUAACGAUGUGUCUUUCAAGUUUCUGCCCUAUCAGCUUUCGAUGGUAGUGUAUUGGACUACCAUGGCAGUAACGGGUAACG
RNAcentral lists this ribosomal RNA (319 nucleotides) under Blastocystis sp. RNAcentral describes it as "SSU rRNA". It matches the Rfam family "Eukaryotic small subunit ribosomal RNA", at positions 25 to 364 of the family's 1831-position model. Lineage: Eukaryota; Bigyra; Opalinata; Blastocystidae. The record is from RNAcentral.